CCAAUGUGUUAUGAGCUAGUACACCGUUUGACUGACAUUUGUGUCCCCGGCAUUUCUACUUUCGUGUGUCGCACUUGUAGAUUAUCCACUUGUAUUUAUCAUAGAUUGGUUUAGAGAUAUAGACGUAGAUACAGUCUGUUACUUUCAUACUCUGCUUAAUCAUGCCCGGAUUUUCCGACAGAGAUCGUGGCAGAGACAGGGGGUAUGGGGGUGCACCUCGUUUUGGAGGCGGCGGUGGUGGAAGUAGGGGUGGACCACCACAGGGGAAAUUUGGCAACCCAGGUGAAAGACUGCGUAAAAAACACUGGAACAUGGAUGAGCUCCCAAAGUUUGAGAAGAACUUCUACCAGGAGCACCCGGAUGUGUCCCGCAGACCACCUCAAGAGGUGGAGAACUAUCUGAGAAGUAAAGAAGUAACAGUGAAAGGCAGAGACUGCCCCAAGCCAAUGAUGAAGUUUCAUGAGGCCAAUUUUCCAAAUUAUGUGAUGGAUGUGAUUGCCAAACAAGGAUGGGCUGAGCCAACUCCUAUCCAGGCUCAGGGCUGGCCUCUGGCCCUCAGUGGGAAAGACAUGGUGGGCAUCGCCCAGACAGGCUCUGGUAAAACCCUUGCUUAUCUGCUGCCUGCAAUCGUGCACAUUCAACACCAGCCAUUCUUGGAGCAUGGAGACGGACCUAUAUGUUUGGUGCUGGCCCCGACCCGUGAGCUGGCCCAGCAGGUGCAGCAGGUUGCCGCUGAGUACGGCAGGGCCUCCCGUCUGAAGUCUGUCUGCGUCUAUGGUGGAGCCCCCAAAGGACCCCAGAUUCGGGACCUUGAACGAGGUGUUGAGAUCUGUAUUGCCACCCCAGGGCGUCUCAUUGACUUCCUGGAGGCUGGGAAGACCAACCUUCGCAGGUGUACCUACCUUGUGCUGGAUGAGGCUGACCGUAUGCUGGACAUGGGCUUCGAGCCCCAAAUCCGCAAAAUUGUGGACCAAAUUAGACCGGAUCGUCAGACCCUCAUGUGGAGUGCCACCUGGCCCAAGGAGGUGCGUCAGCUGGCUGAGGACUUCCUAAAGCAGUAUGUCCAGAUCAACGUGGGUGCUCUGCAGCUCAGCGCCAAUCACAACAUCCUGCAGAUAGUGGACGUGUGCAACGACGGAGAGAAGGAUGACAAACUCCUCCGGCUGCUGGAAGAGAUCAUGAGCGAGAAGGAGAACAAGACCAUCAUAUUUACCGAGACCAAGAGACGCUGCGAUGAGCUCACCAGGAGGAUGAGACGAGAUGGCUGGCCAGCAAUGGGUAUCCACGGAGACAAGAGCCAGCAGGAGAGGGACUGGGUUCUCAAUGAGUUCAAAUACGGCAAGGCCCCCAUCCUCAUCGCCACCGACGUGGCCUCCCGCGGUCUAGGUCAGUAUGGCUUUGGUUAAACCCUCUGGUUGUUUUCCUCAAUAUUUUCACUUUUUUAAAGAAAGUGGUUUUGGCUUUCUUUAACUUCUAUGCAUUUUCUGAGUUUUUCUCACCUAAAGGUGCAGUCUUUGUGGCAGGGCCUAGGCAUGACAAGUUCCAGGCCUCGAGGGGGAAGGAGGACAUAUUGGAAAUGAAGUUGCCCAACUGGCUGCCACCCAGUGGGCCUAGAGAGGUGAAAGCUCUGUGUGCCAGUAAUCCUCAAGUCAAAAGGCAGUGUGGCUAAGCCUCGUUUCUGAUAUCUUUUUUUAUUUUUUAUACUUGACAUUAUUUGUUCUCUGUCCAUGGAUUUUACCUGACAAAUGCCUUCGUCGAGACGUUUCCAACUCAAACGUUACACACACAAAAACAAACCCUUGACGUGACCAUUUGCCUUGCAUGCGUUUUGUAGAGGGCACUGUAUUGCAAGUCACUGUUUGAGAUUUGGAGCGAUUCUGUUAGUUACGGAGCUUGUCCCCGAAAAAAGCAUGGGUGUUUUCCAAAUGUCACAGCUUUCCAUUGCUAUAUAUUUUUUUCUCCCUCACUCAAAGCACUGGUUUUCUUGAAAUGGAGAGAGCAGUUUUCAACUUACUGUUGUCGAAUCGAAAUUGAUGAGAAACUGGCACAUGUGUUUAAGGGGCUAUGGGAACAUCUAGAGAAAGUGAAAUAGAAGAGCUUCAAAAACCAAAGUUCCUCCCUCGCCUGCUUUUUAAAAGUCAUGUCGAGACCUGCCAACGAGAGACAUUUUCUCAAGUGAACGAACACUGGCUUCUGGGAAGAUCUUGCCUCGACGAGACUGAUGGGGGCGGGGUGCUCUAUGCUCUCUGAGGGGCACCACAGGGGUCAAUACUUGGGCCUUUUUCAUUUUUGCCUUUUUUGGGUCCCCCCUCAAAUUAGUACUUGGUCUAAUCGGUCUUGGCAAGACGUGCAGUGAGGCCUUUAUUAGCAAGCUUCUCAUGAGUGUGUACUGGGAAAAGGGACCUUCAGAACCCAUACCAACUGAAAGGUCCUAUAUUGGCACACGAGGAGGCAACAGUGCACAUAGCGGCCCUACUGCGUAGAAGCUCCUGGAUGUCACUUGACAAUUUGUGGGGGAGUUCGCUGCAUUGGGAAAGGACUAGUGAAUGCAUACUCCUUAAUGAUGUGGAGGAUGUGAAAUUUGUCAUAAAUUAUGACUAUCCUAACUCCUCUGAGGACUAUAUCCACCGCAUUGGACGCACGGCCCGCAGUCAAAAAACGGGCACUGCCUACACCUUCUUCACCCCCAACAACAUGAAACAGGCCAGUGACCUCAUAGCUGUGCUCCGCGAAGCUAACCAGGCUAUCAACCCCAAGCUUCUCCAGAUGGCGGAGGCCAGAGGAGGUCGUGGAGGGGGGGGAAGAGGUGGCUUUAGGGAUGACCGACGAGAUAGGUAUUCUGGGGGGAGGAGUUACGGUGGUGGUGGUGGUGGUGGUGGUAGUAGUUACAGGGACAAGGAUAGUGACAGGGGGUUCGGGGGUGGACCAAAGAGUGCCUUUGGCGCAAAAACCCAAAAUGGAGGGGGCUACGGGGGUAGCACCUAUAACAAGGGUGCUAGCUCUGGCGGUAGCUAUGGCAACAGCUACAGCAGCAACGGACAGGCUAGCUUCGGCGCCACCAAUCAGGUGGGUGCGUUUGGUGGCCAGAACUUCCAGGCCCCUCCACAGUUUGGAGCCGCACAGGCGGCCACCCAAAACGGCAUGGGUCGCCCGCCGUUUCCUUUUAACCCACAGGCGCAGCAGCCCCAACAACCCCCACCCAUGGUACCCUACUCUAUGCCUCCUCCUUUCCCACAGUAACUGACAAGGUGUAGAUUGUGUGCACAAUUCACAACGAAACCACCCUUUUUCCCCUCUUGUCUUUUUAAAUCUUAUAUGAAUAUUAUUAUCCUUUGUACUGUUUAACUUUUUUUUGCUUACAGCAGGGUUGGAAUUCUUCAGUAACCCCAAGCAUUGAAAUGAGUCCCAAGGGGGCUGUUGAAGUGCAUCUUUAACUGGUGCACCUCUCCUUGACUGUUUUUAUUUGUUACAUUCCUCAGUAAUUUAUUUUUACUAAGUAAUGCAGAUUUUGAGUUAGUGGUAUGUUUUAAAGUGAUAUGUUAAGAUCUUACCUGGGGGUCAUGCAUGGGCCUUCAAAUAAAACAAUUCAAUUGAA
Molecule: RNA transcript, 3595 nt
Organism: Oncorhynchus kisutch (coho salmon)
Lineage: Eukaryota; Metazoa; Chordata; Actinopteri; Salmoniformes; Salmonidae
Gene name: probable ATP-dependent RNA helicase DDX5
Exons: 13
Source: RefSeq, a predicted model, not a curated record